UUGAUGGCGACCGGCGCACGGGUGAGUAACACGUAUCCAACCUGCCGAUGACUCGGGGAUAGCCUUUCGAAAGAAAGAUUAAUACCCGAUGGCAUAGCUCUUCCGCAUGGUGGAACUAUUAAAGAAUUUCGGUCAUCGAUGGGGAUGCGUUCCAUUAGGUUGUUGGCGGGGUAACGGCCCACCAAGCCUUCGAUGGAUAGGGGUUCUGAGAGGAAGGUCCCCCACAUUGGAACUGAGACACGGUCCAAACUCCUACGGGAGGCAGCAUG
This 269-nucleotide ribosomal RNA is filed under the name uncultured bacterium. RNAcentral describes it as "partial 16S ribosomal RNA". It matches the Rfam family "Bacterial small subunit ribosomal RNA", at positions 85 to 353 of the family's 1533-position model. The record is from RNAcentral.